CGGGGUGCAGCAGGCGCGAAAACUUUACAAUGCCGGCAACGGCGAUAAGGGAACCUCGAGUGCCAGGUUACAAAUCUGGCUGUCGUGAUGCCUAAAAAGCAUUGCAUAGCAAGGGCCGGGCAAGACCGGUGCCAGCCGCCGCGGUAACACCGGCGGCUCGAGUGGUAACCGUUAUUAUUGGGUCUAAAGGGUCUGUAGCCGGCCGGAUAAGUCUCUUGGGAAAUCUGGCAGCUUAACUGUCAGGCUUUCAGGAGAUACUGUCUGGCUCGAGGCCGGGAGAGGUGAGAGGUACUUCAGGGGUAGGGGUGAAAUCUUGUAAUCCUUGAAGGACCACCAGUGGCGAAGGCGUCUCACCAGAACGGACCUGACGGCAAGGGACGAAAGCUAGGGGCACGAACCGGAUUAGAUACCCGGGUAGUCCUAGCCGUAAACGAUACUCGCUAGGUGUCGGCCACGGUGCGACCGUGGUCGGUGCCGUAGGGAAGCCGUGAAGCGAGCCACCUGGGAAGUACGGCCGCAAGGCUGAAACUUAAAGGAAUUGGCGGGGGAGCACAAGGGCGAUUGCG
Molecule: ribosomal RNA, 566 nt
Filed under: uncultured archaeon
Lineage: Archaea
Description: bacterial SSU rRNA
Rfam family: Archaeal small subunit ribosomal RNA
Source: RNAcentral